AGCCCAGCAGAUGAGGAGGGCCGACAUCGGAGGAUACGGUGAAUUGAGCCCAGCAGAUGAGGAGGGCCGACAUCGGAGGAUACGGUGAUUUGAGCCCAGCAGAUGAGGAGGGCCGACAUCGGAGGAUACGACACAGUCCAGGAGGAUAACUCACAUCUCUGCUGAGCAGAAGAGACGUUUCAACAUCAAGCUAGGCUUUGAUAGUCUGCAGAGUCUCGUCACCACGAUGAGCUCUCAGCGAAGUAUAAAGCAAGGCCACGACGCUACAUAAGACAACAGAGUACAUCGGUCAGAUUCAGCAGGAGAGAGCUCAGCUGCACGAGGAGGCUCAGAGACUCAGAGGCUAGAUUCUGCUCCUUUAACUCUGCCAUCAAUGUGUACCAGCUGCAGCUGCCCGUCACCUGCCAACGCUUUGACCACAUGAGGGAGAAGUUCAGAGAGUACGACCGGGCACGGACUCUACAGAACUGGUGGUUCUGGAUCGUAUCCCUCUCCACUCUCCCUGGCCACAGGAACCUUUAGGAUAAAAGUUCAGUGUUAGAUCUGGGCCUGUAUUCACAGCAACAAUAACAACAAUGUCUCAGUGUAGGAAUGCUGACAUAGGGAAGGAUCUGCUUUUUAGAUAUUCAUAAAUAAGAUGAAAUGGAUCCUCAUUACAAAUGCUAAGAUGCCUUUUUACAUAUGGCUCCUGGAGUGGCUCACAGAGGAAAAGACAAGUCACACAAUAUGGUUAUGUAAAUAUCCUGUACUGUAUCUAUGUGUGUGUGUGUGUUGUCGUAGAUAAUAAAACAUCAAUCAGAAUGGUUCUUUCCUAAACACUAGCUCAGUUCAGCAUCAUCGUA
Long non-coding RNA from Oncorhynchus tshawytscha (Chinook salmon), 842 nucleotides. RefSeq lists it as uncharacterized. The record is from RefSeq and is a predicted model, not a curated record. The transcript is spliced from 4 exons. NCBI's taxonomy places the organism in Eukaryota, Metazoa, Chordata, Actinopteri, Salmoniformes, Salmonidae.